CGGAAUUUAAAAACAAAACAAAAACAACAAAAACGUUUCAAUUAAACAGUUAAAGAAAGUAUAUAAUCUACUUGAAAGAGAAAACAACACCUCAACAUGACCAGGUCAACAUGAACCAGCUGAUACAAUUGCAAACUCUCAGGAGAUGAGAAGGGUUCUGGAUGUACUGUUACAACCAAGGGCUAAUGCAUUACCUCAACAUGAUCUGGUCAACAUGAUGGUGGAAACAACAUGAACCACUCCUGAACACAGAACUGUGGUCAACAUGAACAUUUGCCAUAUUCCUGUAA
Mya arenaria is the source of this 290-nucleotide long non-coding RNA. RefSeq lists it as uncharacterized. Lineage: Eukaryota; Metazoa; Mollusca; Bivalvia; Myida; Myidae. The transcript has 3 exons. The record is from RefSeq and is a predicted model, not a curated record.